Molecule: ribosomal RNA, 460 nt
Filed under: uncultured bacterium
Lineage: Bacteria
Description: partial 16S ribosomal RNA
Rfam family: Bacterial small subunit ribosomal RNA
Source: RNAcentral
CCUACGGGCGGCAGCAGUGAGGAAUAUUGGUCAAUGGACGCAAGUCUGAACCAGCCAUGUCGCGUGAAGGAAGACUGCUCUAUGAGUUGUAAACUUCUUUUGUACGGGGGUAAACGCAUCUACGCGUGUGUGUUUGAAAGUAUCGUACGAAUAAGGAUCGGCUAACUCCGUGCCAGCAGCCGCGGUAAUACGGAGGAUUCCAGCGUUAUCCGGAUUUAUUGGGUUUAAAGGGUGCGUAGGCGGAUGGUUAAGUUAGUGGUGAAAUCCCGAGGCUCAACUUCGGAAUUGCAGUUGAUACUGUCCGGCUAGAGAGUAGUAGAGGUAGGCGGAAUGUGUGGUGUAGCGGUGAAAUGCUUAGAGAUCAUACAGAACACCGAUUGCGAAGGCAGCUUACCAAGCUACAUCUGACGUUGAGGCACGAAAGCGUGGGGAGCAAACAGGAUUAGAUACCCGGGUAGUC